ACGUACAGCAAGUACGUUCCGGUUCCUGUGCUCCGUCCGCCUAGCCUGACAACCGCUCGCGACAAAAAUUCUCAAGCUCUGAGCCGUUCAGCC
RNAcentral lists this small RNA (93 nucleotides) under Burkholderiales bacterium PBB2. Its description in RNAcentral is "sX9 sRNA". It matches the Rfam family "Xanthomonas sRNA sX9". Lineage: Bacteria; Pseudomonadati; Pseudomonadota; Betaproteobacteria; Burkholderiales. The record is from RNAcentral.